RNAcentral lists this ribosomal RNA (2920 nucleotides) under Escherichia coli. RNAcentral describes it as "partial 23S ribosomal RNA". It matches the Rfam family "Bacterial large subunit ribosomal RNA". The record is from RNAcentral. Lineage: Bacteria; Pseudomonadati; Pseudomonadota; Gammaproteobacteria; Enterobacterales; Enterobacteriaceae.
GUUAAGCGACUAAGCGUACACGGUGGAUGCCCUGGCAGUCAGAGGCGAUGAAGGACGUGCUAAUCUGCGAUAAGCGUCGGUAAGGUGAUAUGAACCGUUAUAACCGGCGAUUUCCGAAUGGGGAAACCCAGUGUGAUUCGUCACACUAUCAUUAACUGAAUCCAUAGGUUAAUGAGGCGAACCGGGGGAACUGAAACAUCUAAGUACCCCGAGGAAAAGAAAUCAACCGAGAUUCCCCCAGUAGCGGCGAGCGAACGGGGAGCAGCCCAGAGCCUGAAUCAGUGUGUGUGUUAGUGGAAGCGUCUGGAAAGGCGUGCGAUACAGGGUGACAGCCCCGUACACAAAAAUGCACAUGCUGUGAGCUCGAUGAGUAGGGCGGGACACGUGGUAUCCUGUCUGAAUAUGGGGGGACCAUCCUCCAAGGCUAAAUACUCCUGACUGACCGAUAGUGAACCAGUACCGUGAGGGAAAGGCGAAAAGAACCCCGGCGAGGGGAGUGAAAAAGAACCUGAAACCGUGUACGUACAAGCAGUGGGAGCACGCUUAGGCGUGUGACUGCGUACCUUUUGUAUAAUGGGUCAGCGACUUAUAUUCUGUAGCAAGGUUAACCGAAUAGGGGAGCCGAAGGGAAACCGAGUCUUAACUGGGCGUUAAGUUGCAGGGUAUAGACCCGAAACCCGGUGAUCUAGCCAUGGGCAGGUUGAAGGUUGGGUAACACUAACUGGAGGACCGAACCGACUAAUGUUGAAAAAUUAGCGGAUGACUUGUGGCUGGGGGUGAAAGGCCAAUCAAACCGGGAGAUAGCUGGUUCUCCCCGAAAGCUAUUUAGGUAGCGCCUCGUGAAUUCAUCUCCGGGGGUAGAGCACUGUUUCGGCAAGGGGGUCAUCCCGACUUACCAACCCGAUGCAAACUGCGAAUACCGGAGAAUGUUAUCACGGGAGACACACGGCGGGUGCUAACGUCCGUCGUGAAGAGGGAAACAACCCAGACCGCCAGCUAAGGUCCCAAAGUCAUGGUUAAGUGGGAAACGAUGUGGGAAGGCCCAGACAGCCAGGAUGUUGGCUUAGAAGCAGCCAUCAUUUAAAGAAAGCGUAAUAGCUCACUGGUCGAGUCGGCCUGCGCGGAAGAUGUAACGGGGCUAAACCAUGCACCGAAGCUGCGGCAGCGACACUGUGUGUUGUUGGGUAGGGGAGCGUUCUGUAAGCCUGCGAAGGUGUGCUGUGAGGCAUGCUGGAGGUAUCAGAAGUGCGAAUGCUGACAUAAGUAACGAUAAAGCGGGUGAAAAGCCCGCUCGCCGGAAGACCAAGGGUUCCUGUCCAACGUUAAUCGGGGCAGGGUGAGUCGACCCCUAAGGCGAGGCCGAAAGGCGUAGUCGAUGGGAAACAGGUUAAUAUUCCUGUACUUGGUGUUACUGCGAAGGGGGGACGGAGAAGGCUAUGUUGGCCGGGCGACGGUUGUCCCGGUUUAAGCGUGUAGGCUGGUUUUCCAGGCAAAUCCGGAAAAUCAAGGCUGAGGCGUGAUGACGAGGCACUACGGUGCUGAAGCAACAAAUGCCCUGCUUCCAGGAAAAGCCUCUAAGCAUCAGGUAACAUCAAAUCGUACCCCAAACCGACACAGGUGGUCUGGUAGAGAAUACCAAGGCGCUUGAGAGAACUCGGGUGAAGGAACUAGGCAAAAUGGUGCCGUAACUUCGGGAGAAGGCACGCUGAUAUGUAGGUGAAGUCCCUCGCGGAUGGAGCUGAAAUCAGUCGAAGAUACCAGCUGGCUGCAACUGUUUAUUAAAAACACAGCACUGUGCAAACACGAAAGUGGACGUAUACGGUGUGACGCCUGCCCGGUGCCGGAAGGUUAAUUGAUGGGGUCAGCGCAAGCGAAGCUCUUGAUCGAAGCCCCGGUAAACGGCGGCCGUAACUAUAACGGUCCUAAGGUAGCGAAAUUCCUUGUCGGGUAAGUUCCGACCUGCACGAAUGGCGUAAUGAUGGCCAGGCUGUCUCCACCCGAGACUCAGUGAAAUUGAACUCGCUGUGAAGAUGCAGUGUACCCGCGGCAAGACGGAAAGACCCCGUGAACCUUUACUAUAGCUUGACACUGAACAUUGAGCCUUGAUGUGUAGGAUAGGUGGGAGGCUUUGAAGUGUGGACGCCAGUCUGCAUGGAGCCGACCUUGAAAUACCACCCUUUAAUGUUUGAUGUUCUAACGUUGACCCGUGAUCCGGGUUGCGGACAGUGUCUGGUGGGUAGUUUGACUGGGGCGGUCUCCUCCUAAAGAGUAACGGAGGAGCACGAAGGUUGGCUAAUCCUGGUCGGACAUCAGGAGGUUAGUGCAAUGGCAUAAGCCAGCUUGACUGCGAGCGUGACGGCGCGAGCAGGUGCGAAAGCAGGUCAUAGUGAUCCGGUGGUUCUGAAUGGAAGGGCCAUCGCUCAACGGAUAAAAGGUACUCCGGGGAUAACAGGCUGAUACCGCCCAAGAGUUCAUAUCGACGGCGGUGUUUGGCACCUCGAUGUCGGCUCAUCACAUCCUGGGGCUGAAGUAGGUCCCAAGGGUAUGGCUGUUCGCCAUUUAAAGUGGUACGCGAGCUGGGUUUAGAACGUCGUGAGACAGUUCGGUCCCUAUCUGCCGUGGGCGCUGGAGAACUGAGGGGGGCUGCUCCUAGUACGAGAGGACCGGAGUGGACGCAUCACUGGUGUUCGGGUUGUCAUGCCAAUGGCACUGCCCGGUAGCUAAAUGCGGAAGAGAUAAGUGCUGAAAGCAUCUAAGCACGAAACUUGCCCCGAGAUGAGUUCUCCCUGACUCCUUGAGAGUCCUGAAGGAACGUUGAAGACGACGACGUUGAUAGGCCGGGUGUGUAAGCGCAGCGAUGCGUUGAGCUAACCGGUACUAAUGAACCGUGAGGCUUAACCUUACAACGCCGAAGGUGUUU